Non-coding RNA from Trichonephila inaurata madagascariensis, 72 nucleotides. NCBI's taxonomy places the organism in Eukaryota, Metazoa, Arthropoda, Arachnida, Araneae, Nephilidae. The record is from the annotation of a GenBank genome assembly.
GGGAGUAUAGCUCAAUGGUACAGCAUUUGACUGCAGAUCUAGAGGUCCCCGGUUCAAACCCAGAUGCUCCCU